UACGUAGGUGGCAAGCGUUGUCCGGAAUUACUGGGUGUAAAGGGCGCGUAGGCGGUCUUUCAAGCCAGAAGUGAAAGGCUACGGCUCAACCGUAGUAAGCUUUUGGAACUGUAAGACUUGAGUGCAGGAGAGGAGAGUGGAAUUCCUAGUGUAGCGGUGAAAUGCGUAGAUAUUAGGAGGAACACCAGUAGCGAAGGCGGCUCUCUGGACUGUAACUGACGCUGAGGCACGAAAGCGUGGGGAGCAAACAGGAUUAGAUACCCUUGUAGU
RNAcentral lists this ribosomal RNA (270 nucleotides) under uncultured prokaryote. RNAcentral's name for it is "partial 16S ribosomal RNA". It matches the Rfam family "Bacterial small subunit ribosomal RNA", at positions 524 to 794 of the family's 1533-position model. The record is from RNAcentral.